RNAcentral lists this long non-coding RNA (609 nucleotides) under Manihot esculenta (cassava). RNAcentral describes it as "long non-coding RNA (MESC_LNC000261)". The record is from RNAcentral. Lineage: Eukaryota; Viridiplantae; Streptophyta; Magnoliopsida; Malpighiales; Euphorbiaceae.
UUGGGACUUGUUUAUGAAUGCUUAACAAAACACCUUUGGAUCUUCUUUCACAAAGUGCUCAUGAGAAAAAUCAAUUUUUCCCCUGAAUUAAAUUUCAAUUUUGGCUUAGAUUUCUUUGGAAUUGAAUGAUUUGGAUGAUGGGUGCAAAAUUGAAACAUUUGGAUAAAAUUAACAAAUUGGUGCAAGCAUUUGAACUUUUUGGUCCAAAAGGCCUUGAGACGAUUAGUUGACUUGAAUUAUUUAGGGAGGAUCUUAUUUCACAAAGUGCUCAUGAGAAAAAUCAAUUUUUCCCCUGAAUUAAAUUUCAAUUUUGGCUUAGAUUUCUUUGGAAUUGAAUGAUUUGGAUGAUGGGUGCAAAAUUGAAACAUUUGGAUAAAAUUAACAAAUUGGUGCAAGCAUUCGAACUUUUUGGUCCAAAAGACCUUGAGACGAUUAGUUGACCUGAAUUAUUUAGGGAGGAGAUUUAGCUUCAAUGAAGGACUACAUUUUGAAUGGACAUCUGUUCUAUCAUCAAUGCUUCAAUUCUCCAUGACAUCAAUGGAAAAGUAAAGCAUUCUAAUAUCCAUAACAUCUGUUUCCAAUGUCAGCAGAAAACAUUUUGUGUUUCAC